Carassius gibelio (silver crucian carp) is the source of this 269-nucleotide long non-coding RNA. RefSeq lists it as uncharacterized. The record is from RefSeq and is a predicted model, not a curated record. The transcript is spliced from 3 exons. Lineage: Eukaryota; Metazoa; Chordata; Actinopteri; Cypriniformes; Cyprinidae.
CUUUAUUCGGUUAUUCUUUUACUGUCUAAUUAGUUAUCCAGCGAUUUCUGAUAUAUGUGGCAGGUUACACGAAAGAGACGAGAUGAUUUUCCAGCAACUCUGGGCCUCAUGAGGGAGGAUCAGGCUGGUUACACCAUCCAGCUUCUUUGGGUUGAUACGAUUUGCAUCACCUAACCUUGUGUCUGGGGUCAAGACAACAUAAGGACUGACAACACCGCUGUGGUCACAUACGUUGGUCAGAGAAGAUUACUCUCUCACCCCCUGUGCAG